This is a long non-coding RNA of Sebastes umbrosus (honeycomb rockfish), 1439 nucleotides long. RefSeq lists it as uncharacterized. The transcript has 3 exons. The record is from RefSeq and is a predicted model, not a curated record. Lineage: Eukaryota; Metazoa; Chordata; Actinopteri; Perciformes; Sebastidae.
UCAGCUAUUUAACUAAACCAUCAUUGAUUCAAAUUAAAGAUCCGAGCAGAUAACAAGCAUUUACAAUUAUCAACUGAAUCCAAUUACAGUUAAUUUCUUAUAAGGGCUAAAUCUGAUAUUACUAAAUGUAAUAAAUAAAGCAAUUAAAAAGACUGAGCCAGAAUAGGACACAACAAAAUCAAUUAGCAAUAGAACGGUACACCUCUUCCAUGACCAAACCAGGAUUCCACCUUGACUGAAAGAGAAAACUACACUUUCAAAAACAGCCAAAUAAAAGACAGAGUAGAGCGAUUACAUUUUCGAAAAACAUGAAAAGAUCCGAGAUUAAGGGAAGAAAAUGACAUGCUACAGCAGAAAGACAAUUCUGUUCUGACAUAGAGGCACGGUGGAGAAAGAAGCACAAGAGACAGCAACACUGUAAAUGCACUUCUAAGAGAAGGAGGCAAAUUAACGUGUUGCAAAAUGAAUGCAAAUAUAUGCAGAUUCCUUCUAUCAGCCUGUACUCUGUUUUUUUCCCAAACCUUUGGUCUUUUAAAACUGCAGGCGGACAAACAGCAAGCUGUUUAAAAUUCAUGAAACAUUUAUUUAAUUCACCGGGCAGGGACCUUUCCUGACAACCUUUUACUUCUCCCACUCAUGCUCUGCUAGUCUGACAUCCGUCAGGACCGCGGCCAUGAUGAUUCUGUAAAGCAAGUUUGCAGCUACUAACAGCAUGCAGACUCUCCAACACACUGAGAUAAAAUCCACUGUUGGCCUGCAGGUUAGAGGAGCAGGCUGGUGCCUAAAUGGUAACGGGUUUGAUCCCAGACUGGAGGGAUAAAUCUGGGCAAGGAUUACAACUAUUGUUCACUUAACCCCCAAACUACUGGUUUCAUUUUGCUGCUUCCAGAAGGGAAUGUGUGCAACUGUGUGAGAGUGGAGCUAAAAAAGAGCAUUGGUGUCCAGUGAACCAACCCGAGUUAAAUGUAAGCGCAAGAAAUUAAUUAAUACGAUUAUAGACAAAUCCGACGACUGCUUUUUGUGUUCCGUCGUCUAGCGCCGCCGCUAUUACUGCGGUAGCAAGUCGCAAUGACUGUACUGUUUGCUACCAUUAUUAACUGGUGACUUUAAGCCAAAAGCGUCCGUCAUUGCUCGUAGUAACUUACAUAAACGGUUGGCGUAGAUAAAAACACAGAUGAGUAUGUAUUUAAUAUUAAUUUAAGUAAAAUUUAAGGCAUUUUUGAGGACACGGCUGCCGUCACUACGAACAACGCGGUUAUCAGGCACUUUGUACGUAUUCCAUUUGUGAUGGCGACCGAAUGAUGUUUACUUUGUGGUCAUUAGGUUGCCCUAGUUAGAGAAACUAACGUUAUAUUUAACAAUAACGCCACAGUUGCCUGAUUGAGUCCAUUUAUUCAGUGGGACCCCUGCAGCCCCCAGACACCAUCUCAGCCAACUAA